RNAcentral lists this ribosomal RNA (564 nucleotides) under Rhizomucor pusillus. RNAcentral's name for it is "eukaryotic LSU rRNA". It matches the Rfam family "Eukaryotic large subunit ribosomal RNA", at positions 42 to 608 of the family's 3401-position model. The record is from RNAcentral. Lineage: Eukaryota; Fungi; Mucoromycota; Mucoromycetes; Mucorales; Lichtheimiaceae.
AUCAAUAAGCGGAGGAAAAGAAAAUAACAAUGAUACCCUUAGUAGCGGCGAGCGAAGUGGGUAAAGCUCAAGUUUAAAACCUGUUUGUCCUAGACAAACCGGAUUGUAAACUAAGGACGUGCUAUCCAGGCUCUUUGGACCUUCAAGUCCUUUGGAAUAAGGCUUCACAGAGGGUGACAAUCCCGUAGAGGGUCUUGAAAGAGUGUAUUGCGAUGCAUGCUCCAAGAGACAGGUUGUUUGGGAAUGCAGCCUAAAGUGGGAGGUAAAUCCCUCGUAAAGGUAAAUAUUGGCGAGAGACCGAUAGCAAACAAGUACCGUGAGGGAAAGUUGAAAAGGACUUUGAAAAGAGAGACAAAAGUACGUGAAAUUGCUUAAAGGGAAGCGUUUGGAGCUAGUUUGGCUAGUCUGAUAACAGCCUGAGCUUCGGCUUUGGUGUACUAUCAGGCUAUUUGCCGGCCAACUUUCAGGAUUGGAAGGAAAGCUUAGUGCUUUGGAGUCUAAAGAGACCUUUGCGGAAGCCUCUGGUGGAGCGUUGGUCUGCCUUGGCCCUUCUGAACCUAUAGU